UGUAAGGAAAGUGAGUGCAUGCUAUACCAGAGCUUUCAAUAUAAAAAUUAGUGUAUAUAAUUACAAUAUUACAAUUGAAGCAACAAGGUCAAACCAGAGUUUACAAUACUGCGUUACUUCAACCUCCCAUCUAUUUACUAAUUACACUCGUCUAUUUCUACUAUUAUUCCACGGUGAGAAUUCCUGUAGAACAACCCUGACUAAAAGAUAA
This is a non-coding RNA of Vicia faba (fava bean), 211 nucleotides long. The record is from the annotation of a GenBank genome assembly. NCBI's taxonomy places the organism in Eukaryota, Viridiplantae, Streptophyta, Magnoliopsida, Fabales, Fabaceae.